GGUGCUAAAGUUUCAGAUCGUUUAGAGCCAUGGGGAAUGGGAUGAAUAAGAUACUUCCUGGUUUGUUCCUUGGAAAUUUUAAAGAUGCUCGUGACACCGAACAACUAAAACAGAAUAACAUUACACACAUUCUUUCAAUCCAUGACAGUGCUCGGCCCAUGUUGGAGGUAGGGUAAGAAACUUACCAAACUUAAACCAAUGUGGUUUCAGUAGGAAUAAGCAGGCAAAUGCUAUUUUAGCAUUAGUACAAUAUUGACUUAGGACUAUUUCUGUAAAGGGCUAUGGAUAAGAGGAAGGAGGAAGUUGUCAACAAUGAUGUAUAGAUGCAGGGAAGGGGCUUUUUCUCAAGAACUCUGAUUAUCAUUUUUCCAUUAAUCUGCUCAAAUGAAUCUAAUGUCAUAAUCACGUCACGAUAAGUCAGUGUCAUCUAACUUCCAUGUGAUUUAACCAGUGUUGAUUGUAACUGUACUUCUGGAUUUCUGAUUAUCAUCAAAUUGGGCUACAAAUGGCAAUGUGUAUUCCUCCAGACAUUGAACCUCAGCUACUGUCAGCUUUUGCGAGUAUGGCCGAUGGUAAAGAAUGAUAGAAGUUGUAGUUCUAAAUAAUAAUGUGGCCCAUUUCUUGGGGUUCUGUUCAA
This is a long non-coding RNA of Crotalus tigris (Tiger rattlesnake), 637 nucleotides long. RefSeq lists it as uncharacterized. Lineage: Eukaryota; Metazoa; Chordata; Lepidosauria; Squamata; Viperidae. The transcript has 3 exons. The record is from RefSeq and is a predicted model, not a curated record.